GUGGGGAAUAUUGGGCAAUGGGGGCAACCCUGAUCCAGCAAUGCCGCGUGCAGGAAGAAGGCCUUCGGGUUGUAAACUGCUUUUGUACGGAACGAAACGGUCCUGGUUAAUACCUGGGGCUAAUGACGGUACCGUAAGAAUAAGCACCGGCUAACUACGUGCCAGCAGCCGCGGUAAUACGUAGGGUGCAAGCGUUAAUCGGAAUUACUGGGCGUAAAGCGUGCGCAGGCGGUUUUGUAAGACAGGCGUGAAAUCCCCGGGCUCAACCUGGGAAUGGCGCUUGUGACUGCAAGGCUGGAGUGCGGCAGAGGGGGAUGGAAUUCCGCGUGUAGCAGUGAAAUGCGUAGAUAUGCGGAGGAACACCGAUGGCGAAGGCAAUCCCCUGGGCCUGCACUGACGCUCAUGCACGAAAGCGUGGGGAGCAAACAGGAUUAGAAACCCCAGUAGUCC
This 450-nucleotide ribosomal RNA is filed under the name uncultured bacterium. Its description in RNAcentral is "partial 16S ribosomal RNA". It matches the Rfam family "Bacterial small subunit ribosomal RNA", at positions 354 to 796 of the family's 1533-position model. The record is from RNAcentral.